UUUGGACUGCCUACAUGGAG
RNAcentral lists this microRNA (20 nucleotides) under Ornithorhynchus anatinus (platypus). Its description in RNAcentral is "oan-miR-7429-3p". The record is from miRBase by way of RNAcentral. Lineage: Eukaryota; Metazoa; Chordata; Mammalia; Monotremata; Ornithorhynchidae.